This 72-nucleotide transfer RNA is filed under the name Parcubacteria bacterium DG_72. RNAcentral describes it as "tRNA-Thr". It matches the Rfam family "tRNA". From Rfam's summary of the family: Transfer RNA (tRNA) molecules are approximately 80 nucleotides in length. Their secondary structure includes four short double-helical elements and three loops (D, anti-codon, and T loops). Further hydrogen bonds mediate the characteristic L-shaped molecular structure. tRNAs have two regions of fundamental functional importance: the anti-codon, which is responsible for specific mRNA codon recognition, and the 3' end, to which the tRNAs corresponding amino acid is attached (by aminoacyl-tRNA synthetases). tRNAs cope with the degeneracy of the genetic code in two manners: having more than one tRNA (with a specific anti-codon) for a particular amino acid; and 'wobble' base-pairing, i.e. permitting non-standard base-pairing at the 3rd anti-codon position. The record is from RNAcentral. Lineage: Bacteria; Candidatus Parcubacteria.
GCCCAGAUAGUUCAGUGGUAGAACGCUUUCUUGGUAAGAAAGAGGUCGGGAGUUCAAUUCUCCCUCUGGGCU